RNAcentral lists this ribosomal RNA (512 nucleotides) under uncultured Bacteroidales bacterium. Its description in RNAcentral is "partial 16S ribosomal RNA". Lineage: Bacteria; Pseudomonadati; Bacteroidota; Bacteroidia; Bacteroidales. The record is from RNAcentral.
CACGGAGUUAGCCGAUGCUUUUUCUUCGGAUACACGCAGUCCGGGACACGUCCCGGGUUUUGUUCUCCGACAAAAGAGGUUUACAACCCAUAGGGCCGUCUUCCCUCACGCGGCUUGGCUGGUUCAGGAUCUCUCCCAUUGACCAAUAUUCCUCACUGCUGCCUCCCGUAGGAGUCUGGUCCGUGUCUCAGUACCAAUGUGGGGGACCUUCCUCUCAGAACCCCUACGCAUCGUCGCCACGGUGGGCCGUUACCCCGCCGUCAAGCUAAUGCGCCGCAUGCCCAUCCUCUUCCGAUGAAUCUUUCCUCGAUCUCGGAUGCCCGAAACCGAUAUACGCGGGAUUAGCCUCCCUUUCGGAAGGUUGUCCCCCUGAAGAGGGCAGGUUGCAUACGUGUUACUCACCCGUGCGCCGGUCGCCGGCAAGGAAGCAAGCUCCCUCCCGAUCGCCCCUCGACUUGCAUGUGUUAAGCCUGCCGCUAGCGUUCAUCCUGAGCCAGGAUCAAACUCUCUGA